GCCUAGCAGUAACAAAGCAGUCAAAUAAUAAUUGUUCGCCAAAUAACUACGAGUGAAAACUUAAAAUUUAAAAGACUUGACGGUACUUCACACCAACCUAGAGGAGCCUGUCUAAUAACCGAUAAUCCACGAUUAACCCCACCCUCUCUAGCCUUACAGUCUAUAUACCGCCGUCGCCAGCUUACCUUGUGAAAGAACCAAAGUAAACCUAACAGUCUCCCCACUUACACGACAGGUCGAGGUGUAACUAAUGAAAGGGAAAAAGAUGGGCUACAUUCUCUAACCCAGAAUAAACGAACCUACUAUGAAACUAGAAACUGAAGGCGGAUUUAGCAGUAAGUCAAGAAUAAAAUACUUAACUGAAAUUAAUGC
RNAcentral lists this ribosomal RNA (372 nucleotides) under Calliophis bivirgatus (Blue Malaysian coral snake). RNAcentral's name for it is "partial 12S ribosomal RNA". The record is from RNAcentral. Lineage: Eukaryota; Metazoa; Chordata; Lepidosauria; Squamata; Elapidae.